CCAGUGGGACCCAAAGUUGCAUGGGAUGAAGACAACUGGUUCUGCAAGAGAAGCUCAUGUGCUCCUGGAUCCCAGCUUGCACCAUCUUGUCACAGUUUCAGCUGUACUGUUUUGAAAGGCUUUGAAGUCCUUGUCUGCUGAAGUCACUUGGGCAACCGAAGUCCCAGUGACAUUCUUGGAGAUGGGAACUCCUGGAUUCCCCUUCAUCUGAGAUUCCUGAUACAGCAUCUUAAGUCAUCAAUACAGCAUCUGGAGUCAAAUGUUUUUGAGCCAGGUGACCCGAGGCAUGGGAACAGCAAGUGGCACCUUUCACUCCUGGAGCUGUUCUGCACUGCUGAGCCACAUCCUCCCCGCAGGCUGCCCAGGCAAAGGGCAGGACCUGCUGCUCACACAGUGCCCAGCAGCCCUGUCAGGAUGGUUUUCAUGAGCAGCUGUGGUGAGUCCCUCUG
RNAcentral lists this long non-coding RNA (449 nucleotides) under Junco hyemalis (dark-eyed junco). Its description in RNAcentral is "lncRNA (ENSJHYG00000018265.1)". Lineage: Eukaryota; Metazoa; Chordata; Aves; Passeriformes; Passerellidae. The record is from RNAcentral.